GAUGAACGCUGGCGGCGUGCCUAAUACAUGCAAGUCGAGCGAACAGACGAGGAGCUUGCUCCUCUGACGUUAGCGGCGGACGGGUGAGUAACACGUGGAUAACCUACCUAUAAGACUGGGAUAACUUCGGGAAACCGGAGCUAAUACCGGAUAAUAUAUUGAACCGCAUGGUUCAAUAGUGAAAGACGGUUUUGCUGUCACUUAUAGAUGGAUCCGCGCCGCAUUAGCUAGUUGGUAAGGUAACGGCUUACCAAGGCAACGAUGCGUAGCCGACCUGAGAGGGUGAUCGGCCACACUGGAAUUGAGACCCGUUCCAGACUCCUACGGGAGGCAGCAGUAGGAAAUCUUCCGCAAUGGGCGAAAGCCUGACGGAGCAACGCCGCGUGAGUAAUGAAGGUCUUCGGAUCGUAAAACUCUGUAAUUAGGGAAAAACAAAGGUGUAAGUAACUAUGCACGUCUUGACGGUACCUAAUAAGAAAGCCACGGCUACCUACGG
Molecule: ribosomal RNA, 496 nt
Filed under: uncultured bacterium
Lineage: Bacteria
Description: partial 16S ribosomal RNA
Rfam family: Bacterial small subunit ribosomal RNA
Source: RNAcentral